UGCACUUCACCCCAAGUCCCGGGGCCGCAGACCCACCUCUUCCUCCAGAGUGCCACCGGAGCCCGAGCCCGUGCCCGUGCCCGUGCUGGUGCUGUGCUCGCCGUCCGGCUUCAGAUGGAAGCCUGAAUGGAAGCCUAAAUGGAAACCUAAAUGGAAGCCUAAAAAAUAGGAGAUAUCUUUCCCAGUGACACAUUCCUUUAAUAAAUUGUUGAACACCUA
Long non-coding RNA from Leopardus geoffroyi (Geoffroy's cat), 219 nucleotides. RefSeq lists it as uncharacterized. Lineage: Eukaryota; Metazoa; Chordata; Mammalia; Carnivora; Felidae. The record is from RefSeq and is a predicted model, not a curated record. The transcript is spliced from 2 exons.